GCGCUCGUGGCGAAAUUGGCAGACGCGCUAGAUUCAGGUUCUAGUGGGUAAAACCAUGGAGGUUCGAGUCCUCUCGAGCGCA
Molecule: transfer RNA, 82 nt
Filed under: Methylacidiphilales bacterium
Lineage: Bacteria; Pseudomonadati; Verrucomicrobiota; Methylacidiphilae; Methylacidiphilales
Description: Candidatus Methylacidiphilales bacterium tRNA-Leu
Rfam family: tRNA
About the family: Transfer RNA (tRNA) molecules are approximately 80 nucleotides in length. Their secondary structure includes four short double-helical elements and three loops (D, anti-codon, and T loops). Further hydrogen bonds mediate the characteristic L-shaped molecular structure. tRNAs have two regions of fundamental functional importance: the anti-codon, which is responsible for specific mRNA codon recognition, and the 3' end, to which the tRNAs corresponding amino acid is attached (by aminoacyl-tRNA synthetases). tRNAs cope with the degeneracy of the genetic code in two manners: having more than one tRNA (with a specific anti-codon) for a particular amino acid; and 'wobble' base-pairing, i.e. permitting non-standard base-pairing at the 3rd anti-codon position.
Source: RNAcentral